Bombus terrestris (buff-tailed bumblebee) is the source of this 1814-nucleotide long non-coding RNA. RefSeq lists it as uncharacterized. The transcript has 3 exons. Lineage: Eukaryota; Metazoa; Arthropoda; Insecta; Hymenoptera; Apidae. The record is from RefSeq and is a predicted model, not a curated record.
AUACCACUAUGUUGCGUUAUUAUGCGUUAGUGAAAAUCAGAAAAUUCGACAACAACUGUAUUUUGUUUCUAGCAAAUCGUUUAUUUCGUAUGAUGAAAGUAAUCCAAGAAUACAUCUUAUUGGGUUGGCAAUUAAGUGAUUGCGGAGUUUGUCAUUAGGUGGUAAUGUUAGGUUAGCUGCCAAUCCAGUACUAUUUUUUAAUUGACCAAAUAUUUCUCAAUUAAUCGCGCAAUCGUUCCAAUAAAUGGAGUUCUAUUGUACACUGAGUUGAAAGGGGAAAUACGAGCUUACAUAUUCGCGGCGGAUAAAAAUUUAUGUGCGUGCGAUUUAAUGUAUUUAUACAUUAUUUUAUAAUAUAUUGUUAUUCGUAUUUUAUAGCCAUAACGUGGCACGUUAUGGAUUCUAUCCACAUUCGGGAUAUUGAUUAAAUAGAAAAAGGAAUCACUCGCUUCCGGAAUUUCUCAUAGAGUGAUCGUGUCAAAACGAUUAUCUCCGUAAUAAUUCAUAUUGUGGUUACAAUCUGUUAAUUGGGAUCGACAAAGGAGCUGUUGAGAUAAAAACUGGCGUCGUGUCACAGUCGAUAUAGCAGUGUAAAGGGUUAAUAUUCUUUGAAUUCCGAGGAUCUUUAACAACAUAUUGUUCGCAGAUAUCUCAAAAUUUAUAUUAUUUAUUACUAUUAUUAAAUAUUAUUAUAUUACUUUUUAAUUGUAUCAUCCUUCUAAUAAACCGACCAUUUAACUAAAGAAUAUAAAUGAAGAGGAAAUCCGAUCUCGCCAUUUAUCUGUAUCACGUGCUGUUAUGAGAGCUUGCAAAUCUACUUACAUAGGUACGUACAAACGAAUGUAACUAUUGCACGCGUACUCUCUUUGCAACUGUCCGGGCAAAUAUUUUCUCACGAUUGUACCGAUUGAGCGAUAACCUGCGUUACUCUAGAUCACAGAUAACAGAUAGUUGGAAUAUUGAUCUUCUGUUUUCCUCAAUUUUUGAUGACUCUCAUAGCGAAGGCAGUCAUGUCUUUUUCAUUGAAUACUUAAUAACACGAUUAGGAUUAAAUAUAGGAUCGUUUGGAAUUUAGAGAAUUCUUAAGGAUCGGUAAGAAUAAAGGUUUACUACUGGCUUUCUAAGCAUCGUUACACGAACUUGUACAGUAUAGAAACUAAUUUCUGAUCUGUAAUUAGCUAAUAGAUAAAUCGUUUUUUCGAAGAUUGUUAUACAGUAUAUGUAUCGAUUAGAUCUUGUCGAUGUAUAUAAGAAGCAACAAAACAAUUUUACUGACACAAUUUCCUUCUGUUCGACCCCUUGUCAUCGGGUGUCACGAUGGCUACUUUGAUUUCAGCAUCGCGAUAACCAAUGUCCUGAGUCACUAUAAACGGUGGGCUUUUGCAAAUGAGAUUUCGAUCGAAACUACUUGGCCAAUUAUAUAAAAUCGACUGUGUGCUAUCAAUGAUCUGAAUAAACAAUUACCUUACUUUGUAAAAAUAAAAAGCUUGGCUAAAUCAUUGGAAUAAGGCUAAUAGUAUAUUUAAGGCCGAAAUCUGAAUUUCUUGGCAUGAUCCAUAGUGCCGAACGAUUGCGUGCAGUCAGCUUUAUUUAUGGCCUCGAGGUCAGUCGAUUUCGCGUAUUAAGAUUAACAUUUUUAUUGGCCUUGUUGCCUAGACUUUCUUGCUCCUCUCCAAUCGAUUUAUGAUGCUGCUUAUCGUCGCACGGUGAAAUGUAAGUUCCACUUAUCCGAUCGUUUUAAGAUUACUUUAAUUUAACCGCAAUCCUAGCUGAAUAAAAGUUCCAUUUGGUUCUUAAAUUUAAUCCUCGUAAAA